AUACGUAACCCUGAGGUGCUCUGUUUUCACAGAAGAUACUGUGUACUCGUUCAUAUGUGAUUAAAGGUGCAGUGUUUUGGGCUUUAAAUUAGAAUGAUUCUAACUUCUAUCUCCCGACUUUAAGGGACCUGGCAUGACUAAUUUAGUCACCUCUGUUUUAUGUGGGCUAUUUUACUUACCUCAUUUUCUUACUCAUUCUGUUUUUUUGUUUUGUUUGGUUUGGUUUUUUGGUUUUUUCUGUUUGUUUUUUGUUUUUUGUCUUUUUAUGGCCACACAUGUGGCAUAUGGGAAGUUUCUAGGCUAGGUAUCAAAUCGAAUCCAAGCUAUAGCUGCCAGCCUACACCACAGCCACAGCAACGUGGGAUCCUUAACCCACUGAGCAAGGCCAGGAGUUGAACCCACGUCCUCGUGGAUACUAGUCAGCUUCGUUUCCCUUGAGCCACGACUGGAACUCUGCUUAUCCUGAAUUUUGAGGUCACCAUCCUUUUUUACUUCUGUCUCAGUUGCUUAAUACUAUUAAACAACAUAUUGCUUAGUCUUGUUUUUCAGCUUUAUUAUCAAUGUGGUAUAUACCACUUGCAGACUUCUGCCACGUCCUCAUUUAAGGUUUAUCCAUGUUGAUAGCUGUAGUUGAUUCAUUGAUUUUCACUUCAAAGUGUGAAUGUGUCACAAUUCAUUCUGCUCUUGGUGGACAUUUACUUUAUUAGAUAUGCUUUUAUUGAAGGAGGAAAGGAGGACAGAAGAGGCACCAUUAAUAAGCAUUCUUGCUAUAGCAUUCUUCUGCUUGCUUGCCAUUGGGAAUGACUCAAUGCCAAAUUAUUAUUAUUAUUAUUUUGCUUUUUAGGGCCCCACCUGUGGCAUAUAGAAGUUUCCAGGCUAGGGGUAAAAUCGGAGCUGCAGCUGCUGGCUUAUGCCAUCAGCCACAGCAACUCGGGAUCCCAGCCUCGUCUGCAGCCUCCACCACACACAGCUCACAGCACUGCCGGAUCCUUUACCCACUGAGCAGGGCCAGGGAUCCAACCUGCAUCUUCACAGAUACUAGUUGGGUUUAUUACCGCUGAGCCACGCUGGGAACUCCAGUCCCAAAUUAAUUUGAAAAACAGUUACAUCCAUUUACCUUCCCACAUCCAAAAAUGUUGAAGUAAUUGUUUUACCCACAUUGACAUUAAUGGAUUUCUUACAUUUGUAAACUAACCAGGCCCCUGAGCAUCUUCUCGUGUUUAUUUAUUGUAGUUGUUUGAAAUACCUUUUCCUAAGUUGUACUCAUUUUCAUUUUCCUUUAGCUUUAUUUAUUUAUUUAUUUACUUAUUUUUUGCUUUUAAGGGCCACACUUGAGGAUAUGGAGGUUCCCAGGCUAGGGGUCCAGUCAGAGCUACAGCUGCCAGCCACAGCCACAGCCAUGCAGGAUCCGAGCUUCGUCUGAGACCUACACCACAGCUCACGGUAAUGCCAGAUCCUUAACCCACUGGGCGAGGCCAGGGAUCGAACCCAUAACCUCAUUGUUCCUAGUCGGAUUUGUUUCUACUGCGCCACAACGGAAACUCCAGUUUUGUCUUUUUAAAUUGAUUUGCAGGAGUUCUUUAUAGAGUUUUAGUCCUUUGUGUGUAAUACAUUUUGCAAAUAUUUUCCCCCUAAUUUAAUGUCUCACCACAACACUGUAUCUUUUGACAAACAGAAGAUCUUAAUUUUUUUAAAUUUUAUUUUCAUGGCCGCACCCACAGUAUAUGGAAGUUCCCAGGCCAGGGAUUGUAUCCAAGCCACAGCUGUGACCUACAUCACAGCUGCAGCAACUUCAGAUACUUAAAACCACUGUGCCAGGCCGGGGAGCGAACCUGUACCUCUGCAGCAACUUGAGGCACUGCAAUUGGAUUCUUAACCCGGAGUGCUACAGUGGGAACUCCCAAUCUUAAUUUUAUUUAUUUAUUUAUUUAUUUAUUGUCUUUUUGCCUUUUCUAGGGCCGCAACCGUGGCAUAUGGAGGUUCCCAGGCUCAGGGUCGAAUCGGAGCUGCAGCCACCAGCCUAUGCCAGAGCCACAGCAAUGCCAGAUCCAAGCCGUGUCUUUGACCCACACCGCAGCUCAUGGCAGUGCCAGAUCUUUAACCCACUGAGCAAGGCCAGGGAUCGUUUCUAGUUGGAUUCGUUAACCACUGUGCCAUGGCAGGAACUCUCCAAUCUUAAUUUUAAUAUAGGUGAAUUUAUGAAUCAUCGUUUUAUAGUUGGUGGGAAGAACACUACUUGAAGUCAAGUAUUCUAUUUUGUCUUCUAAAAGUUGUAAAGUUUUGCCUUUCAAGUGUAUGGUUUUUGCAUAUAGGGUGAGGAGUCAUGCAGCCUCUGACUCCCUUUUGGGCUUUGUGACCUCCUAUAAAUGAUUUCUUCCACAUCAAUGUCCUUGACUGCAAAAAUGAGACCCUGAUCCCUACUGUGUGUAAAGUUCUCGUGAGGUUAGAAUACAGCAUCCCAGCACACUGAGCCCCAAAUCUCAGUAGCUAUUCAGUAAUUGCUCCUUGGUCUAAGUCCAACUGCAUUCCCUAAGCAUGUGGACACUCAAGGAAAGUUGGCAAUUAACUGGGGAAGUUGUUGCUAGUACACAGCCUGCCAACUGCUACAACCAUCGCCAGGCUGGGUCUGAAUGCUCAGCAAAUCCCCCCACAGGGCACUGGCAGCUUGGAGAAUGUUCAUCCCUGUGCAGACUUGCCUGCUGCAGGCAGGUGCUCAGUCUUAGAGCUGAUUAGUGCAAAUCUGAUUCAUUGUAGAAAUGACUGCUUCCUAACUCCCUGGUACAGUCACAAAGUGGAGUCUGGACAUUCUAACCAGGAGCUUUGGGCCUUGAAAGGAGCUUGCUUAGUUUCUGCCAAUGACAACAUGUGCACACACGUUGUGCAUUCCUGUGAGCAAACAGGAGGCUUGGGAUCUGUUUUUGUUGUUGUUGUUGUUUUUCAUUUGGCCACCUCGAGGUAUUUGGAGUUCCUGGGGCAGGAUCAGAGCCGAGCUGCAGUUGUGACCUAUGCUGCAGGUGCGGCAGUGCUGGAUCCUUAACCCACUGUGCAGGGCUGGGGAUCAAACCUUUGUCCCAGCACUUCCAAGAUUGCUGCAGAUCCUGUUGCACCACAGCAGGAACUAAUGGUUGGUUUUUUUGUUUUUGUUUUUGUCACAACCUUGACUCAUGGGGAGAUAGAAGGGCUGGGAUUGUGUGGUGUACAAUUAGAGAUGUCUGUGAUCAGAGAGGCCUUGCGUUUCCCUCUGGAGAAAAGUAAUGACCACAAAGCAUGGGCGGGCAUUUCUUAGUGUGUUCUGGGAGGUCAGAUGUCAGAAAGGAGACCAAGCCUUGUUCAUGGAGUCUCUUGCAGUGGCUAUUGCACUCUCUUGAGCCUUUUUCAGUUGCACUUCCCAUUGUUCCUGCUUGCCAUUUUGAUCAGGAGCUUCCUUAUACAUGUUUUAUGGAGGGGACCACCGAGUUGGGCAGGCCAUCAAACAUUUGUUGAUCCUUUUCAACCCUGUAAUGUCCACACUUGAAAAACUGGAGACGUCCCAAUGAAAAACAGCUGGGUAGUGGUUUGUAAGCUUUGGUCUUUUGUGGUGGGUAGUGGCUGCCAUAUCACAGUUAAAGGUGACAGAUAGAAUCAAUACACAUGUCCCAUCCACACCAGAACACAGUAGGAAGGGAAUAUUGAUUGUAAAUAAUCCUGUGGGCUUACACAUGUGAAAAUAGAUGUUGUGAUUCCCUACUUGUGUAACUUUGUUAUCUUUUAUUGUGAUGACAGCUAAAUGUUUUAAUCAGGAGCGCUCAGUCAACAGGCAAAGUUGAUUUGUUUGUUGCUGCUUGCUCCCUCUAAACCAGAAGUGUUCUGUUUCCAGUAAAGUUGUUUGUCUCUCCAGCACUCGUUGCCUAGGAGUCCCCCUUCCAACCCUAUAGGAGCAAAGAUUUACUAGUCAAGAUUUAACCCAAACUGUAAAAUUGGGCCAAGGUCCUCUAGGAAAUAUUAAGUAUGAAAAAUUAUUCUACACAGUAGCUUUGUUUGAUCAGGGUAAGUUAAUUUUCUCAAAAGAUUAAUGAUAGAGCUCCAUGGUGGGUUAAGAAGGGUUAAGGAUCUGGCGCUGGCGCUGCCAUGGCUUGAGAUGCUUCUGUGGUGUGGAUCCAAUCCCUGGCCCUGGAACUUCUAUAUGCGUGGAUG
This 4173-nucleotide long non-coding RNA is filed under the name Sus scrofa (pig). RNAcentral describes it as "lncRNA (ENSSSCG00005039395.1)". Lineage: Eukaryota; Metazoa; Chordata; Mammalia; Artiodactyla; Suidae. The record is from RNAcentral.